AACGAACGCUGGCGGCAUGCCUAACACAUGCAAGUCGAACGAGACCUUCGGGUCUAGUGGCGCACGGGUGCGUAACGCGUGGGAACCUGCCCUUAGGUUCGGAAUAACUCCCCGAAAGGGGUGCUAAUACCGGAUAAUGUCUUCGGACCAAAGAUUUAUCGCCUUUGGAUGAGCCCGCGUUGGAUUAGCUAGUUGGUAGGGUAAAAGCCUACCAAGGCGACGAUCCAUAGCUGGUCUGAGAGGAUGAUCAGCCACACUGGGACUGAGACACGGCCCAGACUCCUACGGGAGGCAGCAGUGGGGAAUAUUGGACAAUGGGCGAAAGCCUGAUCCAGCAAUGCCGCGUGAGUGAUGAAGGCCUUAGGGUUGUAAAGCUCUUUUACCCGGGAUGAUAAUGACAGUACCGGGAGAAUAAGCUCCGGCUAACUCCGCG
This 433-nucleotide ribosomal RNA is filed under the name uncultured bacterium. RNAcentral's name for it is "partial 16S ribosomal RNA". It matches the Rfam family "Bacterial small subunit ribosomal RNA", at positions 29 to 507 of the family's 1533-position model. The record is from RNAcentral.